AGAAAGAAAAAUUGUGGCUGCUAACUACAAUAAGGGUUACUAUAAUCCACUUUCUC
RNAcentral lists this transfer RNA (56 nucleotides) under Helix pomatia (Roman snail). RNAcentral describes it as "tRNA-Ser". The record is from RNAcentral. Lineage: Eukaryota; Metazoa; Mollusca; Gastropoda; Stylommatophora; Helicidae.